ACAAUUUACUUAGCAAAUGGUGAUAAUGUUUGUUAAUGAAAGAGAGUACGGGACAAAUUAACAUUUAAACCUUAAACUAGCAGCGCACGUCACUUUCUGAAUGAGGUGCGCGACGUGCGCGUGCCCGUCAUUUUGUAACGGUCAACUUCCAGCGGACGGACACGGAGGAAAGGGCCUGACAACCACCAGUUGAGUCCAUGAUUCAGGGAAGAGACAGUCUGGGCAGCAGCAACAAGACAACUAUUACAAGUAGAGAUGGGUUUCAAGAACUGGUACUAAUUUGGUUCCUGACUUGUUCAGUACUGAAAACAUUUACAUAAGGUACAGGAUCAAUAGUGCUGCUAUCAGUAUUCUUGUAACAUUGAUUCAUUACCCUUUAGACACAACCACAUAUCCUCCAAAUCAUCUCUGCGUGGAUGGCAGCAAGGAUCCAGGAUCAAGAGGUCAUUCUUCAUGGAGACUGUUCCACAGGAAGCAGUUUCUCCUGGGUGAAAAACUAAACCUGGUUGUUUCAGCAUCACUCAGGCAAGCCUAAAUACUUUUAAAUUGAUUUCAGUUGGUUAUGUGUUUCAGGUCAUCCUGACCAUUCUGCUGUCAUGGAUGUAAGGCCGUGCUGGAACUACAUUUCUCGUGAUUGAAAGAUUUGUGCAGCGGUAUCCAGACAUAUAACGCCCCAUCACACGGGGCGUCAACGCCUCUCGUUUACUUUUAAAUGAAGUGACGUCAAGGAUGGUGAAAUUAAUUCUAGAAAUUAAUUCUAAAUAGAAGUUGAAGACUUCUCAAGCGCCAAUGCAGCCGUCCUCCAGUCAGAACAUCCUAUGCAAAUACCCUAGCGCAGACGCAAGCCAAUCGAGUGCAUGCAAUACCAGAAAACUAAUGUGAUUGGCUGUCACUAUGAGAAGAGACAGUAGUUCUGAUCCGAUAUCAGUGUCGUUUUUUGCAAAAAAAAUUUUAAAUCAAUGUAGAAUUUUCUAUACUUCUGUGUAGGGAUGUCAAUUUUCAAUCAUUUCCAUGAUCGAUCGUCGUUUAAAUUAAUGAACAAAUAAUCGAUUAAUCGUUAACCUUAAUGCUGCAAAGUCUAUUGCAGUAACACCCAGUCACUGGUAUGACAGGAUGUGCAAAAGUGUGUGUGUGUGUGUGUGUGUGUAUAUAUAUAUAUAUAUAUAUAUAUAUAUAUAUAUAUAUAUAUAAAAAAACUGUAAAAUAUAUAUUUUACAGUAAAGACCAAAAGUUUGGACACACCUUCUCAUUCAAAGAGUUUUCUUUAUUUUCAUGACUAUGAAAAUUGUAGAUUCACACUGAAGGCAUCAAGGGCUAUUUGACCAAGAAGGAGAGUGAUGGGGUGCUGCUCCAGAUGACCUGGCCUCCACAGUCACCGGACCUGAACCCAAUCGAGAUGGUUUAGGGGUGAGCUGGACCGCAGACAGAACGCAAAAGGGCCAACAAGUGCUAAGCAUCUCUCUGGGAACUCCUUCAAGACUGUUGAAGACCAUUUCAGGUGACUACCUCUUGAAGCUCAAGAGAAUGCCAAGAGUGUGCAAAGCAGUAAUCAAAGCAAAAGGUGGCUACUUUG
Carassius gibelio (silver crucian carp) is the source of this 1573-nucleotide long non-coding RNA. RefSeq lists it as uncharacterized. The transcript is spliced from 3 exons. The record is from RefSeq and is a predicted model, not a curated record. NCBI's taxonomy places the organism in Eukaryota, Metazoa, Chordata, Actinopteri, Cypriniformes, Cyprinidae.